Bemisia tabaci is the source of this 1337-nucleotide non-coding RNA. NCBI's taxonomy places the organism in Eukaryota, Metazoa, Arthropoda, Insecta, Hemiptera, Aleyrodidae. The record is from RefSeq and is a predicted model, not a curated record.
CUCUCCUCUUGCUGACAAACUGACUCCUCUUCUCCACAUAAUUUCUUAUAACCAAUAGUGCUCCUCCUUUCCUUGAACUUCUCUCUAUCUUUCUUCGCAUCUCAUCCAUUCUGUCUCCUUCUUCUUCUCUCUCUUGCUAUAGGUGCCUCGCAUCUCCUCCAGCAAGAGAUGUAAUAAUUAAAUUCCAUUAUUAAUGAGAGUUUUUCUCCACCAAAGUGCUACUCGCUAAUUUCUUAGACUUUUCCAGGCCCCAUAAGUUCCCAAUCUUGCCAAGUUUUCCAGACUGCCAGAAACUCUGGUUCCCUCAAUACUGGAACUACUCAAGGUUUGAUGUUCUUUUGGAAGGUCUACAAAUUGUGCAUCAAAAUGUCACACAUGGAAAUCUGCAUUCUUGCAAAAUGAAGAAUUGAUGCUGAUAAGCCAUUGCCUGGGGCUUAACUCAUGAGACUUUAGAGAAUUUUGCGUGUUCAUACUGUUUUACUUACUAUCAAUAUCAUUGCAGUUUGCUGUUGCAACAUGUUUUAAAAAGUAUCCACCCUCAACCACAAAAAAAUAACUUCAUCAUCCUUUUAACCCCUUUUAAUCCAUGACAACAAAGUGGAUACGUCCAAUGAAUAAUUAACAUGCUCACAAAAAAAAAUUCAGGAGUCUUACAUAGUUUAUGCAGCUUUGAGAAUGAAAAAGUAAGUACUGUUUGAAGAAUUUUAAAGCACUUUUCAAGACCUAUUUGUAAUUUACACUGCAAGGUUUUCUCUCCAUAUCAAAAUUUUGAGUUAGGAUUUUGUCUAUUUUUGUUUUGUUUUCUUUCUGCUCUUUUUUGUCAUUAUAAACUCUAUACACACAACAAGUAUUAAUCCUCGACAAUUAGCAAAGAGUAAAAUUCCAGCACUUCCCAAAAAAUCAAGCAUUUCUAAGCAUUUUCCAGGCCACCCAAACCAUUGAAAAGCAAAAUUUUUACAUUCAGUCUAACAAAAAACUGACUUUUGGUUUGAACUUUUGAAAAAUUCAUGCAGCUUUAACCCUUAUGCGCUGCAACAUACAAGCUGAGGAGAGAACUGACUGAAUAGAAUAUAUACAGAAUCUAUACAGAACAUCAUGAGCUGGAGGGAAAAGGGGAGUGAAACACCCAUAAAUGAACCACUAAGGGAAAAUGCUCAUUAAACUGCGUUGUUUCUAAUCCGUUUAUCUAACAGCUUUGGAGCCAAGGGAGUUAAAGUUGGGAGCCAGAGGAAGAAGAGCUAGCACCUACCUCACUGCUGAUGGAGCUUGUAUGCCUGCUGUUUCGGGGCAAAUAAGAGGAGCAUGCAAGGGAAGAAAGGGAAAAGAACGGGAUGAAC